Long non-coding RNA from Juglans microcarpa x Juglans regia, 203 nucleotides. RefSeq lists it as uncharacterized. The transcript has 3 exons. NCBI's taxonomy places the organism in Eukaryota, Viridiplantae, Streptophyta, Magnoliopsida, Fagales, Juglandaceae. The record is from RefSeq and is a predicted model, not a curated record.
AUUUAAAAAUAAAGGAAGAAGUUAUACGGGAAACAAGGAUUGGGGUCGGGUCUGAUGUACUUUGGGUUGUUUUUUUAUGGGCUUUUUGGGGAAUUAGGGGCUUGUUGGGUCAUUUUGGGCAAGGUGUUUUCUUGUAUACAUUCAGUGUACUUGGUUUCUCCUUUUGAUAUAUACAAUAUUUUUACUUAUCAAAAAAAAAAAUU